UCCCUUGUGGCUCAGAUGGUAAAGCGCCUGUCUGCAAUGUUGGAGACCGGGGUUCGAUCCCUGGGUAGGGAA
This 72-nucleotide transfer RNA is filed under the name Ovis aries (sheep). It matches the Rfam family "tRNA". Rfam says of the family: Transfer RNA (tRNA) molecules are approximately 80 nucleotides in length. Their secondary structure includes four short double-helical elements and three loops (D, anti-codon, and T loops). Further hydrogen bonds mediate the characteristic L-shaped molecular structure. tRNAs have two regions of fundamental functional importance: the anti-codon, which is responsible for specific mRNA codon recognition, and the 3' end, to which the tRNAs corresponding amino acid is attached (by aminoacyl-tRNA synthetases). tRNAs cope with the degeneracy of the genetic code in two manners: having more than one tRNA (with a specific anti-codon) for a particular amino acid; and 'wobble' base-pairing, i.e. permitting non-standard base-pairing at the 3rd anti-codon position. Lineage: Eukaryota; Metazoa; Chordata; Mammalia; Artiodactyla; Bovidae. The record is from Rfam by way of RNAcentral.